AUUCUGGUAUGUGACCAACCUUCAAAGAAAUAUAUUGAAUAUAACAAGUCACCUUCAUUGAUGACAACUAACCAAGCUAGGAUGUGUGAACUGAAGAGAGAUAAGACGCAAACUUCCAUGAGGAAAUUGCUGUUUGGUGGCAAGCAGAUCUGAGUUAUAAAAAGGACUUCUGAAACUCAUAAAGUGCUAAAGAUGCGAAGAUCAACUGAGCUUGCUGUUUAAAAGUACAUGGAUUAAUGACUCCUUUCUCGAUGAGGGUAACUCCAAGCUAUUCAUCACAAGGACUGGAAAAGAACCUGCAUAACCUUUCCUUGGUGACUUCUUCUGGGGCCAAUGGUUGAUUCAGAGCUUCAAAUGGGAUGUGUUAUCUAAAAGAUUGGUGUGAACUGGGAGAAGUCAUGGUCCACAAGCCACAGGCUCUGUCUCAGCAUGGAUCAGUGGCUCUCAGAGACUGCCAGCUCAGUGCCUCCAGUGACAGUCAGGAACCGGGAAGAAUGAGUGUUACGGAGUACGGAGACGGAUGGACAAGUGCUGGUUCCACUGAAGAGCGGCUUCUGAUCAAUGAAGCAAAGAUUCCUGAAAGUCAACUAUUUUUCUGAUCCAGGCUCCCUACACCCACCCCAUGCCCUUCUCCCAUCCUGGCAAUGUUUAGUUGGGGCUCCUUCAGUGCCAAAUGGAGCUCUUUCCUGUAUUCGAAACUGCUAAGACUCUGGAAUUUUGAUAUAAUACAUUAAAACAUUUUCUCAGCC
Molecule: long non-coding RNA, 749 nt
Filed under: Mus spicilegus (steppe mouse)
Lineage: Eukaryota; Metazoa; Chordata; Mammalia; Rodentia; Muridae
Description: lncRNA (ENSMSIG00000013195.1)
Source: RNAcentral